This is a long non-coding RNA of Salvia miltiorrhiza (redroot sage), 1503 nucleotides long. RefSeq lists it as uncharacterized. The transcript has 2 exons. The record is from RefSeq and is a predicted model, not a curated record. NCBI's taxonomy places the organism in Eukaryota, Viridiplantae, Streptophyta, Magnoliopsida, Lamiales, Lamiaceae.
UAGACCGGCCGAUACGCUAAACCGGCUCACGGUCCUAGGCCGGCCGAUAUGCUAGAUCGGCUCACGGUCCCUUGUGUACACUAAUCCUGUCUAACAUCUGGAUAGAACAGGAUCCGAAUUCGAUUAACUUCUGGUGCCAGAUAGGUAUCAUACAAGCUCAUAAAAGUUUUGGCAAGUCAACUACUUUAAUAUAACUUCAUUCAUGUAAACAUCAUGAAAUAGUGUGCACUUCAGAUUUUGAGUUUAGAAAGCCCACCUGAUCGUGGUCUGACGACACUAGUAAUUCUGAACUAUUGCUUUACCCUUGCUUGUAUCCGACCUUCAGUAUAAAAACUGACUAAUAAAUAAUGAGGAAAAUGACCAUGGACUAAUUUAUAAAGAAUGCUUAUGUUGGUUUUAAGGUGAUAGUUCUACUGAAAAUUUUGAUAUAAAGACUAGCUGCUACUUGAUAACUUAUCAAAAUACCAACAUGGACUUUAAACUGUGAUAUCAUAACUACGUCAUUAGUCAUAACUCUACUUGCACUAAUUAAUAAAUAACUAUGAAUUUAGAAAUACUAUAAAUCUCUUUUUCUUUUCUUUAAAGACUUGAUUCUGGAAUACUCUAAUGUGUAACUAUUAGGCUCACAUUGAAAUGAUUUCAGCCCAGUUAAACAAAUUAAAGACUCAAGUAUAUAAAUUAAAUCUAUUGUCUAAUUAACCAUCGAAGCUAAGAAUUAAAACUAACCCAACUCAAUUGAAUAAAUGAAGAGCCCAAUUAAUAAGUUGAGUCCAUAGUUAACUUACUAUCCUGGUCCAAUAUCAAUUUUGUUAAAACCAAGUCAUCCGAAAUAGGGCCCAAAAAUAAAUAGGCUUAAGAAUUUACUUAGCCUAAUUAAAUUAAUCACUCUUAUAACAUAAAUCUAUAUAAAAUAAAAAACUAGUCUUCUUCUUAAAAUAAAGGAAAUCAGAUUCCUCCUUCUCUCCUCAGACGUGGUCUUUCUCUCUCUGUUCACUCGCCCGCGUCUGUCACUCUCCCUCUCUCUCACGCUUGGCGACGUCGCCGGUCAUCGCCGCCUCCGGCGCAGCGAGGCCGGCGCCUCUCUCUCCCCUUCUUCUUCCUUUCCUUCAUUUUCCCUUAAUUCUUAAAUCAAAAUCAACCUAGGGUUUUUUAAUCUCCCCCAUCACUUUCACUCCUCUGGAGAAUCCCGGCGAAUAACGUCGCCGCCGCCCCAGCUCGUCGGAUUUCCGCUCCUCCGUCGUUCUUCCUGCCUCAGGGAUUGGUUGGCAUCGUCGACUCCGGUGUGGCAGCUUCGUCUACUGCCCAAGAUUCUACCUUUUCUUCCUUCGUUUUUAUUUAUCUGGUUUCUUGUUCAAUUACUGAAAAUUGGGAUCGUUGAUGAUAAAGCAUACUGCUUAUGCUUAACUUGUAUAACUAUAUCAUUUUUCUAUUGUUCGUGGCUGUUGAUCUAUACUCAAUGAAUGGAUUAUUGAAUAAAAGAAAGACUACCUUCUUUGCUGUGAA